Long non-coding RNA from Anas platyrhynchos (mallard), 950 nucleotides. RefSeq lists it as uncharacterized. The record is from RefSeq and is a predicted model, not a curated record. Lineage: Eukaryota; Metazoa; Chordata; Aves; Anseriformes; Anatidae.
CAAGGACCCACAGCUCCAGCAUUGGCAAGUACUGAUUUUGGAGAAACAAAGAUACCUGAGCCAAUAAUUGUACCAACAAUCAUACAGAUUCCACUGAUCAGGCCCACCUUGAAAUAAAAGGAGAUAUUUUGGCCGGUAAAUAUAAUGUUAGGAGAGGACGCGAUCAGGAAGAUUUCUGACCCACAUAAUGAGUUGGAUUAAGUCUACACAAAAGAGUGGUGCUUGUGAGUUUCAAAUAUUAUGACCAUCUUUGAAUCAGGCUCUGCUGUGACUGCAGUUCUGCUUCCUGUAAUAGGAAGAAGGGGAUAACACAGCUGGAAGUGGUACUAUUUUUCCUCUAGAGCUGAAAUGGGUAGUCUGCCCAUUGUCAUGGCACACUAGGAAUAUAGGAAGCACCCGAGAAGAACAGUGAUGAUGGAUAUAGCAGCUGGGACUGAAGAGGACAUAAUCUACAGUCUUAUAAAGUAAUUUCAAAAAGUAACAAUUGCAGUGAUGUGAAAGAAGUCCCACAAAAUCUGUUGACAUGUACUCUUUCUGCCAUGCAUCUGACCUGCACCAUGGUUUUGGAGUAGUUUGUGGACACUGAGAUAUGAGGCAAUGAAUUCACCAAAAGUAUUUUCUAGGUCUCCUCAUUCAAAACCCUACCAUCUUAUCUGAGUACAGGAUACCUGCAAUCUAACUUUCUGCCAAGGUUUGUUCUACCUCUGAACCAUUCACAUGCACGAGAAGGUCUGCAAAUACUGAAAUAUCCUGUUCUUCAGGUGAAUACACAAAUGAUUAAUCAUCAUAGCUAACUACUAGCAUUGAAGAUAUAUUCUUAAUUUGCAUGUAAAGACAGAUAUGUCUACGAAAACAAAAAAUUUAGCAAAAUUAUUCAACAAGUAGGCCAAAUAGGUGUGACAAAGAUGUAUUUGAGGAAACAUGGCUGCUCUACAGUAGGUAGAAAUGAU